RNAcentral lists this long non-coding RNA (207 nucleotides) under Homo sapiens (human). RNAcentral's name for it is "LHRI_LNC1558.1". Lineage: Eukaryota; Metazoa; Chordata; Mammalia; Primates; Hominidae. The record is from RNAcentral.
GCCCAUUUGAGCUGGAAAUUGUAAAAGAACAGCUCUGCAGAUGGAUCUUUAAAUUCUUAACCUAAAAGAAGAGCAAAAAUGUAAAUGAUAAAUCUGGGAAGUAAUAAGUAGAAGACCAUGUAUAGCAGAGUUGAGGAAAGAAACAAUAUAGUAUAAAUACUGAAUUACAUGAAAGCUAAUAGUUAAUUGGCAUCAGUUGACCCUGAC